This 73-nucleotide transfer RNA is filed under the name Angiostrongylus costaricensis. It matches the Rfam family "tRNA". Rfam says of the family: Transfer RNA (tRNA) molecules are approximately 80 nucleotides in length. Their secondary structure includes four short double-helical elements and three loops (D, anti-codon, and T loops). Lineage: Eukaryota; Metazoa; Nematoda; Chromadorea; Rhabditida; Metastrongylidae. The record is from Rfam by way of RNAcentral.
GCCUCGUUAGCUCAGUUGGUAGAGCGUUAGACUUUUAAUCUAGCGGUUAGGGGUUCGACUCCCCUACGAGCUA